This 253-nucleotide ribosomal RNA is filed under the name uncultured bacterium. RNAcentral describes it as "partial 16S ribosomal RNA". It matches the Rfam family "Bacterial small subunit ribosomal RNA", at positions 524 to 776 of the family's 1533-position model. The record is from RNAcentral.
UACGUAGGUCCCAAGCGUUGUCCGGAAUUACUGGGUGUAAAGGGUGCGCAGGCGGCCAUGUGCGUCAGAGGUGAAAUCUCCCUGCUCAACGGGGAGGGUGCCUUUGAAACGGCGUGGCUUGAGUGCGAGAGAGGGUGGUGGAAUUCCUGGUGUAGCAGUGAAAUGCGUAGAUAUCAGGAGGAACACCGGUGGCGAAGGCGGCCACCUGGCUCGCAACUGACGCUCAGGCACGAAAGUGCGGGUAGCAAACAGG